AGAGUUUGAUCAUGGCUCAGAAUCAACGCUGGCGGCGUGCCUAACACAUGCAAGUCGAACGCGAAAGCCCCGCAAGGGGCAAGUAGAGUGGCAAACGGGUGAGUAACACGUGGGUGACCUGCCUUCGAGCGGGGGAUAACGUCCCGAAAGGGACGCUAAUACCGCAUGACAUCCUGCCUUUGAAGAGGUGGAGAUCAAAGCCGGGGAUCGCAAGACCUGGCACUCGGAGAGGGGCCCGCGCCUGAUUAGCUAGUUGGUGGGGUAAUGGCCUACCAAGGCAACGAUCAGUAUCCGGCCUGAGAGGGCGGACGGACACACUGGGACUGAGACACGGCCCAGACUCCUACGGGAGGCAGCAGUGGGGAAUUGUUCGCAAUGGGCGCAAGCCUGACGACGCAACGCCGCGUGGAGGAUGAAGAUUUUCGGAUCGUAAACUCCUGUCGAAUGGGACGAACAGAUCUCGGGUGAACAAUCCGAGGUCCUGACGGUACCGUUAAAGGAAACCCCGGCUAACUCCGUGCCAGCAGCCGCGGUAAUACGGGGGGGGAAAGCGUUGUUCGGAAUUACUGGGCGUAAAGGGCUCGUAGGCGGCCAACUAAGUCAGACGUGAAAUCCCUCAGCUUAACUGGGGAACUGCGUCUGAUACUGGAUGGCUUGGAUUCGGGAGAGGAAUGCGGAAUUCCAGGUGUAGCGGUGAAAUGCGUAGAUAUCUGGAGGAACACCGGUGGCGAAAGCGGCGUUCUGGACCGACAUUGACGCUGAGGAGCGAAAGCCAGGGGAGCAAACGGGAUUAGAUACCCCGGUAGUCCUGGCCCUAAAC
RNAcentral lists this ribosomal RNA (820 nucleotides) under uncultured Acidobacteriota bacterium. RNAcentral describes it as "bacterial SSU rRNA". It matches the Rfam family "Bacterial small subunit ribosomal RNA", at positions 8 to 807 of the family's 1533-position model. Lineage: Bacteria; Pseudomonadati; Acidobacteriota. The record is from RNAcentral.